RNAcentral lists this microRNA precursor (86 nucleotides) under Branchiostoma floridae (Florida lancelet). RNAcentral's name for it is "mir-2060 microRNA precursor family". It matches the Rfam family "mir-2060 microRNA precursor family". The record is from Rfam by way of RNAcentral. Lineage: Eukaryota; Metazoa; Chordata; Leptocardii; Amphioxiformes; Branchiostomatidae.
GAGUGUGGAUGGUGUUCAGCGCCAGGGACAGGUUUGUUUACCUGUGUGAGUAUGGUAUUCAGUACCAAGGACAGGUGUGUUUAUCU